Molecule: long non-coding RNA, 371 nt
Filed under: Mytilus galloprovincialis (Mediterranean mussel)
Lineage: Eukaryota; Metazoa; Mollusca; Bivalvia; Mytilida; Mytilidae
Source: RNAcentral
AAAGAAACCCAAUAAGGAAAUAGAAACCCAAUAAGGAAAUAGAAACCCAAUAAGGAAAUAGAAACCGAAAAAGGAAAUGAACAUUGAAAAAGGAAAAAGAAACCGAAUAAGGAAAUGGAAAUUGAAUAAGGAAAUGGAAAUCGAAUAAGGAAAAGAAAAUCCAAUAAGGAAAUAGAAACCGAAAAAGGAAAUGAACAUUGAAAAAGGAAAAAGAAACCGAAUAAGGAAAUGAAAAUCGAAUAAGGAAAUGGAAAUCGAAUAAGGAAAUAGAAACUGUAUAAGGAAAUGAAAAUCGAAUAAGGAAAAAGAAACCGAAUAAGGAAACGAAAAAAAAAUUUGAAAACACUUUUUGAGGAAAAAAAAAUUUGAGG